GUGCAGCAGUCGCGAAACCUUCGCAAUGCAGGAAACUGCGACGAGGGAACUCCAAGUGCCUACGCUCAGCGUAGGCUGUUCUCAAGCCUAGAAAGCUUGAGGAGUAAGGGCUGGGUAAGACGGGUGCCAUCUGUGGUAGCGAGUCAAUAGAAUUCGAUUUGUUACUGCAAGGCAUAAGCCGCCGCGGUAAUACCCGCAGCCCAAGUGGUGGCCGCUUUUAUUGGGCCUAAAGCGUCCGUAGCCGGCCCGGUAAAUGCCUGGGUAAAUCGUGGAGCCCAACGUUCACGAA
This 289-nucleotide ribosomal RNA is filed under the name uncultured microorganism. RNAcentral describes it as "partial 16S ribosomal RNA". It matches the Rfam family "Archaeal small subunit ribosomal RNA", at positions 330 to 571 of the family's 1478-position model. The record is from RNAcentral.